UAAGAGGUCCCGCCUGCCCUGUGACUAUAUGUUUAACGGCCGCGGUAUUUUGACCGUGCGAAGGUAGCGCAAUCACUUGUCUUUUAAAUGGGGACCUGUAUGAAUGGCAUAACGAGGGCUUAACUGUCUCCUUUUUCAAGUCAGUGAAAUUGAUCUCCCCGUGCAGAAGCGGGGAUAGGCACAUAAGACGAGAAGACCCUGUGGAGCUUCAGACACUAAAGCAGAUCAGUAUUAAUACCCUGAACAUAAGGCACGAAUAAGAUGAUUCCUGCCCUAAUGUCUUCGGUUGGGGCGACCGCGGAGAAAUAUAUAACCCCCGCAAGGACUGAAUGUACUACAUUCACAACCAAGAGUGACAACUCUAAUUAACAGAACUUCUGACCAAUAAGAUCCGGCAAUGCCGAUUAAUGAACCAAGUUACCCCAGGGAUAACAGCGCAAUCUCCUCUUAGAGUCCAUAUCGACGAGGAGGUUUACGACCUCGAUGUUGGAUCAGGACAUCCUAAUGGUGCAACCGCUAUUAAGGGUUCGUUUGUUCAACG
Molecule: ribosomal RNA, 541 nt
Filed under: Epinephelus itajara (Atlantic goliath grouper)
Lineage: Eukaryota; Metazoa; Chordata; Actinopteri; Perciformes; Serranidae
Description: partial 16S ribosomal RNA
Rfam family: Bacterial large subunit ribosomal RNA
Source: RNAcentral